RNAcentral lists this ribosomal RNA (716 nucleotides) under bacterium. Its description in RNAcentral is "partial 23S ribosomal RNA". It matches the Rfam family "Bacterial large subunit ribosomal RNA", at positions 22 to 827 of the family's 2925-position model. The record is from RNAcentral.
UAAAAGAUGUCUAGAUUUAAAAAAAAUUAGGACGUUUAAAUAACGAUAUAUGUAAGUAAUCCAUAGAAUUUUAAUUUACAUGUUUCCUAUAUUAUAGUGAAAACUAAAAAAAAAAAUUACUUUGUGAACUGAAACAUCUAAGUAACAAAAGGUAAAAAAUUAAACAAGAUUUUAAAAGUAGUGGUGAACGAAAUUAAAAAAAAAUAUAUAUAUAUUUUUAUUCUGGAAUUUAUUGAAAUAUAAAACAAAAAAAGGUUAUAGUCCUGUACACAAAUAAAAAUAAAUAAAAAUAAAUAAAAAAACAUGAUAAGUUUUUUUAUUUAAAUAAAGAACCAUCUUUAAUAUUUAAAUAUUUUUUUAAAAUCGAUAGUGAACUAGUACCGUGAGGGAAAGAUGAAAAGAACCUUAAAAAAAAAUAAAGAGGAGUUAAAAGAAUCCUAAAUUUGUAUACUUUAUAGCAUUUGUUUUAAGAUAUUCUUAAACAAUAUACCUUUUGUAUAAUGGGUCAACAAGUUAAUUUUUAAAGUAAACAAAAAUUUAAAAUUAAUUGUAUAGCGAAAGCGAGUUUUUUUUUAAAGCGUUUAAAUUUUAAAAAUUAAACCCGAAACUAAAUGAUCUAAUUACGUUCAAAUUGAAAAAAAUUUUAAUUAAUUUUUGGAGGAUUGAACCCAUGUAUGUUGCAAUAUACUGGGAUGAAAUGUGAUUAGGGGUGAAAG